UCGUGCGGUGCAGCGUCCAGCUUGCUGGAGUGGAUCAGUGGCGAACGGGUGAGUAACACGUGAGCAACCUGCCCCAAACUCUGGAAUAAGCGCUGGAAACGGCGUCUAAUACUGGAUACGAGACCAACCUGCAUGGGUAUGGUUUGGAAAGUUUUUCGGUUUGGGAUGGGCUCGCGGCCUAUCAGCUUGUUGGUGAGGUAAUGGCUCACCAAGGCGACGACGGGUAGCCGGCCUGAGAGGGCGACCGGCCACACUGGGACUGAGACACGGCCCAGACUCCUACGGGAGGCAGCAGUGGGGAAUAUUGCACAAUGGGCGAAAGCCUGAUGCAGCGACGCCGCGUGAGGGAUGACGGCCUUCGGGUUGUAAACCUCUUUCAGCAGGGAAGAAGCGAAAGUGACGGUACCUGCAGAAGAAGCACCGGCUAACUACGUGCCAGCAGCCGCGGUAAUACGUAGGGUGCGAGCGUUGUCCGGAAUUAUUGGGCGUAAAGAGCUUGUAGGCGGUUUGUCGCGUCUGCUGUGAAAAUCCGGGGCUCAACCCCGGACUUGCAGUGGGUACGGGCAGACUAGAGUGUGGUAGGGGAGACUGGAAUUCCUGGUGUAGCGGUGAAAUGCGCAGAUAUCAGGAGGAAC
RNAcentral lists this ribosomal RNA (635 nucleotides) under Janibacter limosus. RNAcentral describes it as "bacterial SSU rRNA". It matches the Rfam family "Bacterial small subunit ribosomal RNA", at positions 62 to 707 of the family's 1533-position model. Lineage: Bacteria; Bacillati; Actinomycetota; Actinomycetes; Micrococcales; Intrasporangiaceae. The record is from RNAcentral.